RNAcentral lists this ribosomal RNA (485 nucleotides) under uncultured bacterium. RNAcentral's name for it is "bacterial SSU rRNA". It matches the Rfam family "Bacterial small subunit ribosomal RNA", at positions 954 to 1437 of the family's 1533-position model. The record is from RNAcentral.
GCAGAACGCGAAGAACCUUACCAGCUCUUGACAUCCUACUCAUCGGACCUUGUAAUGAGGUCUUUCGGUUCGGCCGGAGUAGAGACAGAUGCUGCAUGGCUGUCGUCAGCUCGUGUCGUGAGAUGUUGGGUUAAGUCCCGCAACGAGCGCAACCCUCAUCCUUAGUUACCAUCAGGUUAUGCUGGGGACUCUAAGGAAACUGCCUGCGUCAAGCAGGAGGAAGGCGGGGAUGACGUCAAGUCAGCACGGCUCUUACGAGCUGGGCUACACACGUGCUACAAUGGUGGUGACAAUGGGCAGCUAUCCGGCAACGGAGUGCUAAUCUCAAAAAACCAUCUCAGUUCAGAUUGUCCUCUGCAACUCGAGGGCAUGAAGCUGGAAUCGCUAGUAAUCGCAAAUCAGCAGGUUGCGGUGAAUACGUUCCCGGGGUCUUGUACACACCGGAGGUCGGUGGGGAGGGCAAGGGGCACGACAGGGGGGGGAUA